Cyprinus carpio carpio is the source of this 681-nucleotide long non-coding RNA. The record is from Ensembl. NCBI's taxonomy places the organism in Eukaryota, Metazoa, Chordata, Actinopteri, Cypriniformes, Cyprinidae.
AUCCUCGUCUUCAGGAACGAGCUUUCUGUCUGUCUCUUCAGUGCUGUUCUUGAACUCUUCCUCUGCCGUUGCCACAGAUUCUUUUAUUUCUGUGCUAGGUUUUAAAUCUGUAGAACUGAACUGAAAACUCAUUUUGAAUGACUUUGAAAAUUUCCUAAUUGAAUUUAAAAUGAAAAUGAACUGAUCUGAUGCACGAGCUGUGGUUAGUUUCACUUUCGUCUACGUCACGAGCUUGAACAAUAAUGCACUACCCUGCAGUCACUGCCCAGCAGUUCUGAGGAGGAAAGGAGAGCUUUGGGACAAAACUAUCACUCAUACAAUUUAUAUUAGGAAUACAUAAAAAAGAGUGCACGAGCUUGCAAAACUCAAAUAUACUCUAAAAAAUCCUGGGUUAUCAUGAAAAUGCGUAUAAAUAGUAGCCUACGCCGAAUAAAAAUAAAACUCGUGGUACUGAUAAGAAAAAAAUGGUUUUUGGUGUGUAUGCUGUGAGGAGCAUUCUGCGGGCACAGUUUUCAAGAGGAAUACUUCAGCUGCAAAAGAAAUUGUAUGAACAUUCAUCGAACAUAUAAGGUGCGAAUUCUGGGUCUGGUCCUAAUCCUAAUGCUUAAGAUUUAACAAUUACAAUAUAUUUAUACAAAUAUUCCUAUAUUUCAAGGCCGCAGUUUGGAAAAACCUUCAGGU